RNAcentral lists this ribosomal RNA (514 nucleotides) under uncultured microorganism. RNAcentral's name for it is "bacterial SSU rRNA". It matches the Rfam family "Bacterial small subunit ribosomal RNA", at positions 9 to 521 of the family's 1533-position model. The record is from RNAcentral.
GAGUUUGAUCGUGGCUCAGGAUGAACGCUGGCGGCGUGCUUAACACAUGCAAGUCGAACGAAGCACUACCGACGGAACUUUUCGGAGGGAAGAUGGUAAUGACUGAGUGGCGGACGGGUGAGUAACGCGUGGGCAACCUGCCCCAUAGAGGGGGACAACAGCUGGAAACGGCUGCUAAUACCGCAUAACAAGGAGAGAGCGCAUGUUCUUUUCUUCAAAGAUUUAUCGCUAUGGGAUGGACCCGCGUCUGAUUAGCUGGUUGGUGAGGUAACGGCUCACCAAGGCGACGAUCAGUAGCCGGCUUGAGAGAGUGGACGGCCACAUUGGGACUGAGACACGGCCCAAACUCCUACGGGAGGCAGCAGUGGGGAAUAUUGCACAAUGGGGGAAACCCUGAUGCAGCGACGCCGCGUGAGUGAAGAAGUAUCUCGGUACGUAAAGCUCUAUCAGCAGGGAAGAAAAUGACGGUACCUGACUAAGAAGCCCCGGCUAACUACGUGCCAGCCGCCGCAGU